Long non-coding RNA from Cucumis sativus (cucumber), 612 nucleotides. RefSeq lists it as uncharacterized. The record is from RefSeq and is a predicted model, not a curated record. The transcript has 6 exons. Lineage: Eukaryota; Viridiplantae; Streptophyta; Magnoliopsida; Cucurbitales; Cucurbitaceae.
CCAAUUCUUAAACCCUCGUGCAAACUUCACCCUCACCCUUCGCUCACGAUUUUGACAUCCAUCCUCAAUCCGACCACCACGUCCCGUAUCCGAACAUCGUCGACCAUCUCCAACAGACACAUAAUGGGAAUCAACAGAUCAAGAGCUUAGAGAUUCAAGAGAUUAAGCUUUUACAACUUCCUUCUGUUUGUCACUUGAAAAGCUUCGGUAUUAGCUAUUGCCCAAAUGAAUACCACACAGUGAUAGAUGGAUCAGAUUCAGUACUCUGAGAAGUACUUCGACAACAUUUAUGAGUACAAGCACGUGGUUCUCCUACCCGAAGUGGCAAAGUUGCUUCCUAAGAGUCGUCUGCUCUCGGAAGCCAAAGAGAUUGGAACGGUAUAAAUGAAUCUCAAUGGCCUGGGUAUUGAGAAGUUUGGCUCUUUAUUCAUUGGAACUUCAUUUUGUGCAAAUAUUGUGUAAUUCAUUUGGUACAACUUUUGGGAAACAAAUUUCUUCUAUAAUAUAACAAGCUAAAGACAAGAUCAACCUCCCAAGAUCCUAGCUAAAAGGUUCAACCGGAGUCGACAACUUCAUGAGUUUUCUUUCAAAGAAUAUUUUCAGAGACGGACA